This 17089-nucleotide long non-coding RNA is filed under the name Populus tremula. Its description in RNAcentral is "long non-coding RNA (PTRE_LNC002292)". The record is from RNAcentral. Lineage: Eukaryota; Viridiplantae; Streptophyta; Magnoliopsida; Malpighiales; Salicaceae.
UCCUCGGUCAGUUGCUCGACCUUCUGCUCUUCCGCCUCAAGAUCCACCUGCAGAACUCUUGACAUAUCAGUGGCAGCCUGUUUUGCAUUCUUGGCGACAAGCGCAGUGUAACGGGCAGUUUCAGGCAUCUUCAUCCUCCAGUAGUAGGUAAGGGCAGCGGGAAGCGCUCCAACCAUUACAAUUAUACGCCAAACGUAGUCAGCUUGCGGGACAGUUGAGGCAAGUGCAUCAACCUGGUAAGCUGGAGCAUCAAACCUGGCCUUAAAUGCAGAUGAUAUAAUUAUAGCAAAUAUGCCACCAGCCAAAAUUCCAAAACCUUGCAUAGCAAAGACUGCAGCAAUGAAGGCGCCACGAGUCUUCUUGUUAGCAUAUUCAGACAUGAUGGUGGCAGACAGUGGAUAGUCACCUCCAAUACCAAACCCGAGCCAGAAACGAAAGAAGCAAAGGGUCGACAUGACAGCCUUAGCAUCACGGCUAAAAGAAAGACCCGAGGCAACCGAACAUAUGACCAUGAGCAUAAGAGUCAUACCAUACACUUUCUUCCUUCCCAUCUUGUCACCAAGCCAGCCAAAGAAGAGCUGGCCAGAAAGAGUUCCACAGAACGCCACACCAUUAACAGCUGCCGCUACAUUGGGAGGCAAACUACCAGGCUUCUCUGCUCCAUCGACAUGGUAAUAUAUGCGGCCAAGCAAUUUGGUGACAAGGGAUAUGCAGAAGAGGUCAUAGGCAUCGGUGAAGAAUCCCAUGCCAGCAAUAAUAAUUGCGGUGAAGUGAUACCAUUGUGUUUUUGCCACAUCAAGCGCAUUGAGAACCUGUAAUUCCUUGGCCAUGAUCACCUAGCUUAUCUAGGAAAAUGCCUUUCCUUGCUCUCUCUGUUCUCUGCAAAACUCUUGACCAGAGUUUUGUGAGAAAAACGGACAAAAAAGAGGGAGAGAAAACUCUUGACUAGAGUUUUGUGAGAAAAACGGACAAAAAAGAGGGAGAGAAGAGCUAGAAAGAAAGAAAUUGAUUAAGAAGCUCGUUUGGUUCAAGAAAGAUGGUGUUUCUUGAAUAUUUAAGCGACGAGCACCCCUUAAAUUCUUAAUAAAGCAGCGAAGGCAGGCAAAUAUACCACGGGCAUAUUCCCCCACUCUUUUCGCCCGCCCUCUUUCCUCGGUCAAUAUCCUUUUUCGUUUACGUUGCGUUUAUGUUCAUCCCAUUUACACCUGCAAUGAUAACUUUACCUCUAUUUCGUUGGCUACAACUAUUAUUCGAACUAAAAAAAGUCGUCUUCGUCUUCUUCUACUUCUUCAAUUAUUAUCAUUAUUACUAUUAUUAUAGAAUUUGUGGUUUAUUAAUUUUAGUGAAAGUUACAAGAGUGUUGAGCAAUUGUAGACGUUUGGUUCCCUUAUUUCAAGUUAUAUAGAUUUCAGUUAAAUUGAAUUUAUUUUCUAUAACUAAAUUAAAAUUAUCAAACACUCGAAGUAUGAGGAGACAAUCACCAUGAACAAAGGUCCAUAGCCAUGACUUCUCUUUCUCCUAGCUUGCACGAGUCAAAGCAACAGUCCUGGUGAGAGGAGGAGGGUGACAAUGAAACAUUCUAGUCAUUCCAUGUGGUUGGUCACCAUUACGGAUAUAUCUCUUAAAAAUGGUCUGGCAGGUAAGGGAUGGACAAUCAUUAAUAAUUUGGUUCCAAUUUUUGUUUGCUGUAAUUUGAUUAUUAUCAGUGUCUUCUUGAUAGUUUUGUGUAUAAUACUUUUUAAUUGAAAAUAUAUUAUAAAUUUUUUAAAAUAUUUUUAUCAUUAAUAUAUUAAAUUUAUUAAAAAACAUAUAAAAAUAUCGAUUUGAUAUUUUUUUAUAUAAAAACAAUUUUAAAAAGAGGGCCAUCGUGUAACAUGUGCUAUAUUGUUUAUGAUGUUACUAUCCUUAAUUUGAAUGUGUGUGUGUUUGUGUAUAUAUAGAAACACACACACACAGAAAAUCAGCAAACCAAUUUCUUUUUUUCUUUAUUUGUUUAUAACAUUGUUCUGUUAGCCUGUUACAUAGUAAUGUUUAUAUUGUUAAUCAUUCAGAUAAUAUGAGUAUUUCUAACUUUCAAUGUUUGAGAUAUCUAUUAAAAAAAAUUAAAAAUUGUAUAUAAAAGGUAAGUGUUAAUUCAAAAGGCUUAAUUCUAAUGUUUAAUUAAGUAAAUAUUAACUACUAAAAUGUUAACUAUUCACUUAUUUUGGAAGAUUUAGAUUAAGAAAAUGAUGAAUUAUAUUAAAAAGGACAUGAAAGAACUAAUUCCAUUCCAUAGAUUUGAUACUAUUUGUGUUUCAAGACUCUGGAUUGUGGGCAAUUCAUAGGGAGAUUUUGUGGCUUGAAAUUUAUGCGAAAGGAAAACUAAGGCGUAGUUUCAUGGCGAUUAUGCAUGUAUUUGUAUUUUAAUUUUUAAUUAGUGACUUUGAUGCCAAUAUUUUCACCCAUUAACGUCAAGUGAUAAAUUACAUGUGCAAUUAAAGUUGAUAGUUAAACCAUCUAGUAGAUGGUUUAAUAGUAAAAUAUUUGGGAUUAAGAAAUUUUUUUUUUCUCUGAUUUCAGGUUCGAACUUUGUAAUUGCUAAUAUGAUAGCUAUUAGAAGUUUAUAUGAUUGUUAACUUUAUAGCCCAUGAGAUUAGUCGGGGUAUAUACAAACUGAUCCAGACACCUACGUUAAUAAUUAAAAAAAAAGUUGAUAAUAAAGAUUUCCAUUUCCAUAUGUUAUUUCUAUUGCACUAUAUCAUUUAAAUUACAUCAAUUUUAUAAUUAUUGAUUUGUGGCUCAACUUAAAUUGGAUGAUAUAACCAGUGAUGGGUAUUUAUGAAAUACCGAAAUUUCUUCGAAAUGGCAAUUAUAAUUAUGAGGGAAUGUUCUCAAAUAAUAAAUAAAUAAAUAAAAAAUAUGCCUCCUAAAUUCCACAUCACCAUGGAGUCAUUUCCAAUUCAUUUAGACUUUGUUUCUGAAAAUUCCAAGUGCAUUUUAAAGAGUUCAGGUCAGAUUUAUAACUUGAAAGAAUCAAACUACCUAACAGGUUAGGCAAAGUGUGAACCUUUUGCAAGUCAUCAUUAAGAGUUUUCGGCUACUGAAAGCUACGUAGCUUGUCUUGUUAGAUUCUGGAAAUUAGUCAAAGGUUCUUAAAUGGAGAUGGUGGUUCACGAUUCACACGCAAUUUAUUAAGGCAGAUGCAAAAAAUCUGCAAGUGAUUUGCAGGAACAAUUAAGCCUACAAUCAUGCCUUGUAAUUUAAUACAGAUAUACUCUAUCCAUAAAUAAUUUUGAUAGCUGUAAUCUCUCCUCAGAUGGAUCUGUAAGUUAGUAUAAAAACAACAUGCUAAGCAUCAAUAAAAUUAUAUUGAAAAUUCUAUCGUAAGCUUCUGGAUAAUAUCACUCUUCUAUAUGAUUCCUGGUACUUGUGCCAUAAUUGAUGCUCGGAGGCUGCUGGCUGGCUCUUAACUGUUAAGUCGUCGGUAAAUUUAGUGUAGCUGGGAUAGCCACCCAAAACCCACAAUCAGAUUCGAUAAUUUAAUGUCUUUUUCAACACAAACACACGGAAGCAACUGAAGUAAAAGGAAGUUUCGUUACCUCUUCAUGAGGCAAAAAGGUACUAAUUAGGAGAAAGAAAUUGACAUGUAUCAGGGAGGAUUUAAAGGGUCUUCAGAAUUUUCGUUCAAGUGGUCACCCUGUAAAGAUUUGUAUCAUUGCCUCGCAAUUACUCUUGCAUAGAUUGGUUGAUCGAAUUUCAAAGUCAAAAAAAUGGGGGUGUUCAAGUAGGUGAAGACAAAGAAAUGGGGGUGUAGAAGUAGGUAAAGACAAUUACUUGGAAAAAUUAAAUGGUAAGAGUGUUUGAGAGUUUGGUAAUGGUUGGUUUUUAUUGGGUUUUUUUAUUGUGAAAAUAUAUUAAAAUAAUUUAUUUAUUUAUUUAAAGAAAGGUCUUUUGAAACGCCCCUAAUUCUCGGAAUGAGUUUUAUUUCUUAGUUCUUUUUUUCCACGUGCGACAGUAUUAGGAAUUGACUUUUGAACCCUGGUGCACGUCUAUGUCAAAACGAAAGUCCAGCUAAACUUCUAAAGUAUGGAAUCAUUCACACUUCACUUUCGAGGACAUCGCAGAUAAAAACAAGAACGAUGCAAGAAAUCAAAAUAAGCUAAGGAAAUGGAGGACAUGUCCAUGUGGUUAGAAUCGAUUGCAAAGCAAAGGCUACACUCAUCAUCACAAUAGCGUUUCAACAAUGUCUUCUUUUGACGUCGCAGCAAGUUGAAGUGACAUAAAAGAGACCUGAUUUACUCGGUAACUUGCAAGACUGAGGAAGACAGGGAAGGGGGAGAGACACACGAUAACAAGAAGAGGUAUAUUGAAAAAUAUAUCAAGAGUUUAGCUAACUUGUACUAGAGAACUGGAUAAAGAAAACAUUUAAACCAACGGUACUGUCCUGUUAUAUGAACUUUGCUCCACAUUUGGCACCGACCCCUCAUCAGUCUCAUUCUCUCCAGACAUCUCCUCUAAGGAUUUUCCAUUUGAUUCAGGGACCAAGAAAGUAAACAAUAUGCCGAAGAAGUUGACGACACCGAGGACAAGGAGUGAAUUCUUCACACCGAUACCUGCAGGGUACCCUGCAUCGGCCUUGGCCUUGUCCUGGUUCUGUGCCAAAUAUAAGAACCCGAAUGCACCCACAAUUGCUCCGAGCUUCCCAGAAGCUGCUGAUAUACCGUGGCAAGUGGACCUUAACCUCGCAGGGAAAAUCUCGGCUGGUACAACAAAUGUGGUGGCAUUAGGUCCAAAGUUUGCAAAGAAGAAGGUCAAUGAGUAGAUAACCACGAAUCCAAUUCGGUUGUCCUUCUGGGUCCAGUGGUUGUAAGGAAUGGCCAGCGCAAACAUGAACACUGUCAUGAAGAAGAAACCCAUCAAUUGGAUUGCAAACCGUCCUAUUCUGUCGAUAAAAGCCACUGUGAACCAGUAGCCUGGGACAGUACUGCAUAGAGCGAUUAGUGUUUGCGCCCUCGCAAUUCUAUAAACCUCAUCGAUGGCAUUCAUGGUCUGUGCUUUGGGAAUCCAUCCGAUCGCGCUAAAUAUAUCCUUUUGGAAAAGAUUUUGGCUGUAGAAUGCAAUGUCAAGCAAGAACCACGUGGUAGUUGUUCCAAGCAAAUGGAGUCCAUGGCGAUGAAGGAACUUUUUUGUGAACAGACCAAAUUGAUUGGACUUGUCCUCGGUCAGUUGCUCGACCUUCUGCUCUUCCGCCUCAAGAUCCACCUGCAGAACUCUUGACAUAUCAGUGGCAGCCUGUUUUGCAUUCUUGGCGACAAGCGCAGUGUAACGGGCAGUUUCAGGCAUCUUCAUCCUCCAGUAGUAGGUAAGUGCAGCGGGAAGAGCUCCAGCCAUUACAAUUAUACGCCAAAUGUAGUCAGCUUGUGGGACAGUUGAGGCAACAGCAUUAACCUCGUAAGAUGGAGCAUCAAACCUGGCCUUAAAUGCAGAUGAUACAAUUAUAGCAAAUAUGCCACCAGCCAAAAUUCCAAAACCUUGCAUCGCAAAUACUGCAGCAAUGAAGGCACCACGAGUCUUCUUGUUAGCAUAUUCAGACAUGAUGGUGGCAGAGUGGAUAGUCACCACCAAUACCGAACCCGAGCCAGAAACGAAAGAAGCAAAGGGUCGACAUGACAGCCUUAGCAUCAUGGCUAAAGAAAGACCCGAGGCAACCGAACAUAUGACCAUGAGCAUAAGAGUCAUACCAUACACUUUCUUCCUCCCCAUCUUGUCACCAAGCCAGCCAAAGAAGAGCUGCCCCGACAGAGUUCCGCAGAACGCCACACCAUUAACAGCAGCCGCUACAUUGGGAGGCAAACUACCAGGCUUCGCUGCUCCAUCGACAUGGUAAUAUAUGCGGCCAAGCAAUUUGGUGACAAGGGAUAUGCAGAAGAGAUCAUAGGCAUCGGUGAAGAAUCCCAUGCCAGCAAUAAUAAUUGCAGUGAAGUGAUACCAUUGUGUUUUUGCCACAUCAAGCGCAUUGAGAACCUGUAAUUCCUUGGCCAUGACCCCUAGCUUAUCUAGGAAAACGCCUUUCCUUGCUCUCUCUUUUCUCUGCAAAAAUUGAAACCGGAUUAAAAACCAUGCAAUAUCACAAGGAUCCUUAGAUGAUAAUCGAAAAUUUAAAUGAGUUUGCUAAAGAGCCGGUGAUAAUUGAAAUUCCAAAUGGCGUCACCAAUAAAAACAGAACACAGAAAAACAAACAAACAAAGAAAGCCAUUCUCACUCUUCACGUUACUUGGGGACGGUAGGACUAAUUCUCAAGGCAGCAAUAAAAUACGUAGAUUCUAAUUUUGCUAAAUACAAGUAUUGGAUUCUUUCACACAAUUUUUUAUACAAUGAAGAAAACAGCAUAUACAAAGAUUUUUCGGAAGAAGUAUCCUGUUAGUCAAUGGUAGGUCCAACAUCUACUCUAUUUCUAAUCACCUCACUUAAUUUAUCUUUCUGGAGAGCAAGGAGCAGUGUAUGAGACAAGUGAAAGAAAGUAAAAGACACAAGUAGAGACAAAAGAGCAGUUCCUCUAUUUCACACAGAUCUUUGUGGUGGUAACUAUGAAACAUACAAAUAAAUAAAUAGCCCAUUAAUCUUCUAGAAAGUAAAAACUUCCAUGACGAUAGGAAAUUUAAAUUAAAAGACAAGGAGAACUCAUAGUAGCUAAUAAGAAAUCUCUGCAAGAAAAUCUAAAUUUAAAGAGAGAAAAAAUAAGAGCAGGGGUAGAAAAGAAACACCUCUACUAUUUGAUAAAUCGAAAGUACUGUUAACCAAAAUUAUCAAGCUACACAAGUGGAUUCAGGCAGGAUGGAUGGACAAGAAGUAUUAUUAUGUUUUUUCAACAAAACAAGAACAUGGGAGAGAGUUUCCUUAAUUACUCUACGUAGAGUUUUAAAUAGUAAUAUCAAAUAAUUAAAAGCUUUGAUUCUCACAAGAACAUUUAUUUAAAGUGAUGCUUAGCUUUUCCAAGUGAUGGGGUGAGAUCCUAGAAUCAGACUAGUAAUAAUAAAUUAAUUAAGAAGAUCAACCGGCGAUUAUGGCAGCAUUUGUGGACCAAAAAAAUCAAAACUGAAUCACAAUUUGCAGCAAGGAAGUUGAAAUAUAGAUCCAGACUGGUCUCAACUGGCAAUACUUGAUAUGAGAUUUGAACCUAAAUCGUUUCUUAAUUAACAUUUGUCAGAAAAAAAAAAUAUGUAUAUGGAGAAAGCGAAAAAACCACGAGUAUAACAAAAUUUGUAUAUUUUCGUUUUUUUGCCUCCCUCUUUUGCACUCAUGAGAGAAACUCAAGAAAUGACAAGAAGACAAGGCGAGAGAACCCCAUAAAAGAGAGAGCUUUAAUUUGCACACAAACCUUCCUGCCUUCAAGAACUUGCUGUACUCUUUCUCGAGAGAGUGAGGAGGGGACAAAAAGGAGGGAAAUAAAAAGGUGGAAAAAGAAAUUGAUGAAGAAGAAUGCUGUGGUUCAAGUAAGAGGGUGUUUCUUGGAUAUAUAUACAAGUAAUAAAGCGGCAAAGGGAUGGAAAUAUACCUCUCUGCCCUCUUCCCUCGGUCAGCAACCCACACGCUUUUCCAUUUCCCUUGCCGUUUUAUCUACUUCGACACUUGCAGUAAUAACUUCGCCUAAAAAAUCUUAUAUUAUUUAUUUUAUUGGAAGUUGUCAGUGUUCUGGCCAAUUGGAUCGAAGUAAAGGCUUUCUUUCCUUAUGCCAAGCUAUCAGUUAAAUUAAUUUACUAAAUUAUGUAAACGUAAGAUGAUCGACGGCUUGUCUUGGAGUCAGCUGGAACAGUCACCAUGAACCGUGGUCCAUAGCCAUGAAUGCUCUUUCUCCAAGCCUGCACCAGUCAAAGAGUUGUCCUUUCUAACAGUUCUAGCGAGCGUGGGAGGGGGUGAGAAGGAAACUCUAGUUUUUGUUCCACGUAGUCGUCGGUCAACAUUUUGGACAUUAAUUUGAGUUAAAAAGUGGUCUGAAUUUCGUGGAUGGAGGCAUAGUUAUUAAGCCCGAUCCGGGGUUGACCCGGCAAGGGACCGGGUCUCGGGUUUCAUGGGUCAACCCGGGUUGACCCAUAAUAAUUUAAAAAAAAAUUAAUAUUUCAUAUGAAAAAAUUCAUGUAAAUAUAGAUUAUACAUAUAAAUAAUGAAGUUUAAAAUAAUAUUUUAAAAAGUUUUUUAUCCCAUAUUAAAAAGAUAUUAUGUUAAGCUUUUAAGUUGAAGUAUUUAAAUUAAAAAAGUUUUUUAUUCUACAUUGGAAAAACAUAACUUUUUUCAUGGGAACAUAGAGUAUAUAUAUGAAAGGGCUUCAAAUCCCACAUUGAAAAUAUAUUAUGUUAUCCCUUUAAGUUGAAGUAUUUAAACCAAAAGGUUUUUUAUCCCACAUUGAAAAAACAUGAUUUUUUCCUUGAGAACAUAGAGUAUAUAUACUAAUGGGUUUCAAAUCCACAUUGAAAAAAUAUAACUUUUUUCAUUGGAACAUAGAGUAUAUAUAUGAAAGGGCUUCAAAUCCACAUUGAAAAGAUACUAUGUUAUCCCUUUAAGUUGAAGUAUUUAAACCAAAAGGUUUUUUAUCCACAUUGAAAAAACAUGAUUUUUUUCUUGGGAACAUAGAGUAUAUAUACUAAUGGUUUCAAAUCCCACAUUGAAAAAACAUAACUUUUUUAUGGAAACAUAGAGUAUAUAUAUAAAAGGCUUCAAAUCCCACAUUGAAAAGAUACUAUGUUAUCCCUUUAAGUUGAAGUAUUUAAACCAAAAGGUUUUUUAUCCCACAUUGAAAAAACAUGAUUUUUUCCUUGGAAACAUAGAGUAUAUAUACUAAUGGGUUUCAAAUCCCACAUUGAAAAAAUAUAAUUUUUUUCAUGUGAACAUAGAGUAUAUAUAUGAAAGGGCUUCAAACCCCACAUUGAAAAGAUAUUAUGUUAUCAUUUUAAGUUGAAAUAUUUAAACAAAAUUUUUUUUUAUCCUACAUUUAAAAAAAAAAAAAAACCCGGGUCUCGUCCGGGUUUGCCCGGGUCACCCGGGUCCCAGGUCGACCCACCGGGUCGCCCGGGUUUGGCCGGGCUGUUGCCACAGCCGGUCUUUUAUUAAACCCGAACCGGUCCAGCCACCGGGUAGACCGCCGGGCCGGGCCGGGUUUAAUAACUAUGGAUGGAGGGAUGCGUUUUGAUCGAUUGUCAUGCUUCGUAGCAGUUUCUGUAAGGACAAACAUGUAGGAAUGGGCCACCCUCCCUAAAGUCUACAAGAGGGCCACCCUGUACUGUAUACUAUUGUCGUUUGUGAUGUGACUGCCCUUAAUUUUAAGGCACUGAUUAUAUAUAAGAUAAUUUUAGUUUAAUUAUUUUGGUCUAACGAUUUGGUGUGUGUUUAUAUUAAAAAAAAAAAAAUUUAGUGAUUAUGAAAUUAAAAAUAUAAAAAACUAUUUUAAUUUAUUUUUAAAUAAAAAUACAUUUAAAAAGUAUUGUGCAUCAUGAUAGUCUUGUUAUUGUUCCACGUAGUCGUCGGUCAACAUUGACACUUGAGUUAAAAAGUGGUCUGAAUUUCGUGGAAGGAAGGGAUCGAUUGUUACACUUCUUAGCAGCCACUGUAAAGACAAACGAGUAGGAAGGGGCCACCCUCCCUAAAGUCUACAAGAGGGCCACCAUGACUAUAAACUAUGGUCGUUUGUGAUGUGACUGCCCUUAAUUUUAAGGCAAUGGUUAUACAUAUAAAAGAUAAUUUUAGUUUAAUUAUUCUGGUCGUUUGGGUUUGAAUUUUAAAAAUGUGUUUAUCUAAAAAAAUAAAAUUUUAUUGUCUUCUUCUAUGAUUUUAACAUGCUGAUAUUACAGUUAAAAAAAUAUAAAAACUAUUUUAAUUUAUAAAAAAAAUACAUUUAAAAAGUAUUAUACACCAUAAUAUUAAAACACAAUUCGAGCAAAUUUUUUUUUUCUUUACAAUGUUUGUUCUAUUGGGAUAUUAUAUGUAUUGGUCAUUGUGGUACAAAGUCCUUUUAAAAAUAUUUUUUACUUCAAAAUUUAUUAAAAUGAUUUUUAUUUAUUUUUUAUAUUAAUACAUUAAAAUCAUUAAAAUAUAUUAAAAAAUAUAUCAAUUUGAUAUUUUUUUAAGUGAAAUAUUUUUAAAACACAUCAAAAAAUAGAAAUUAUCACACUUUUAAACACUAAUAGCUCAUCAUGACCAAUUUAUUAUUCCAUGGAUGAGAAAGAGAAUCGGAUAUACAUGGAGGCUAUUUGGGGUUGAUGUGCAACCCUUUCAAGAUUUUUGAAUUUAUUUUAUUUAAAAUUGUAUUUUUUAUAGUGAUAUUAAAAAUAAUUUUUUUAAAUAUAUAUAUAUAUAUAUAUAAUUUUAAUAUAUUUUUAAAUAAAAAAUAUCAUAAAAAUAAUCUGCACCUAACUCAGCUGUAAACUCGUCACAAGUAUACCAUGUACAUGCAUGUAUCAAAAACCAGCUGAACAAUUUGGUCAAAAUACGUGUACUUUCUUGAUGAUAAAAUUAAUGGCUUUAUGGAAAUGAUGAUUGUUAGAAAGAUUUGAAGUCAUUGGUGAUAAACUCAAAGAAUAAGGAUGAUUAAAACUCUUCUGUUCAUUUAAUUUUGUUAUAUAAAAUAAAUAAAAUUUGAUCAAAGUCAUGGUAACUUGAACCCAAAAAUACUUAGAGGUGACCUCAGCCUUUCGUCGUCGGUAUCAAUUUUCCCCUUCUUCCUGGCAAUGUAUGAGUGUGAAUGUGACCUCCUUGUCUUGCAAAAUUUCUAUGCCCCGCCACCCGGCUUGCUGUCCAUUUGGGCAUCUUUCAUUUGUCAUCCACAGUUGACCUCUAUAGUCAACUCCAUCAUUUCGUGAUUAUUAGAAAACAAAAAUAUGUUAACGAGGGUGGGGGCAGAGCGAGUUGUGUUAACCUACGAAGAUGAGGAGAAAGGGUGAAUAAUACUUCUAUUUAUUUGAUGAAAUUUUUUGUUAGUAUUUAUAUUAUUAUCUUAUUAAUAAUUAAUUUAUUAAUUAAAUUACAUAAGAAAAUAUUUUGUUAGUGAAUAAUUCAUCAGUAAUUUUUUAUUUAUUGAUAAUUAAAAAAUAUUAUUAUCGAUGAAUUUACUGACAAGAAAAUCACAUAAAAAAUAAAAUUAUUCACUUUAUUCCAUUCGUAUUUCACUCAGAAGAUUGUCAUAGAACAAAAAAAAAAAUAACAUAUGCAAUUUUGUCGUUGAUUAUUUAAAAAUAUAUAUUUAAAAAAAAUCUAUUUAACAAAAAAAGAAAAUAAUUAAAUUAAUAUAAAUUAACACUUCAUAAUGCUCAGAAUUGAAUUGCUUGGAAAAAAGAGAGAAGAAAAUCAACUCAAACAAAUUUGCAACACAUAAAUAACACAAAAAAAAUAAAACAACAACAACAUUGAUCUUAUAUGAAAAAACAUCCUACAACAAAUAUUCAUACAAUUAUUAAGAACAAAUUUUUUUAAAAAAAAAAUAUAAUAAAAAAAACACAUAAAAAAAAAUCUUAACUUAAUAUAGUUGCGAGUGAAGUUGAGAAGAAAAAAAAAUUAAUUAAGUAUGUUAAUUAAAAAAACUGAGAAGAGAAAAGAAAAAAAAAAGAGAAGAAAACAUACUUAAGAGUGAAGGAGAAGAGGAGUUAAGGAGAGAAGGGAAGGGAAGAGAAAGAAAAAAAGAAAUGUUGAUGUUUUUAUAUAACAGCAAAAAGAAGAAGAAGAAAAGGAAGAAGAAGAAGAGGUCCAUCUGUUGUGAAAUGACGAAUUCUAUUUAUUGGGACAUUUUAUCUACGGUUUUAUCGAUAGAUAAUUAAAUAUUAAUAUUUCUAACCAUUUUAUCGGUGACUUUUUUUGUAAUAUUUAAUUUAAAUUUUCAAUGUAAUAAAAAAAUUCAGAGACCACUAAAUAUCAUCGAUAACUUUUCAAUCAAUUGGUGAUUCCAUCUGUAAUAUUUAAUUUACUCAAAAAAUUUUAGAAACCCACCAAAUAACAACGACGACUUUUUAAUUCGUUGGUGAUUUUGUCUAUAAAAAACAUUAAUUAACAUUGCAACUGGAAAGUGAUAUGGAAAAUAAUGACAGAAUGUUUCGUUGGUGAUUCCCUUUGUAAUUGAUAUGAUAAACAGUGUUAGGGAGAAGUGAACAAUUUACCAAUGAUUUUACCGACAUAAUUAAUUUUGUUGGUAUAAAUGACAUGUCAUCAUAUUUUUUGGCUUUAUUUUAAUUUUUUUUCCAUCAUAAUUUUUUCGGUAUAUACCAAGAAAAUAUUUUUAUCAGUAAAAUUCGCUGCAAUUUAUCAAUGAAAAUAUUUCGUUAAUAUUUCAAUUUGUAUUUAUUAAUUUUCUAGUAAUGAAAGUUGCUGUUAACACCUAAGUUACUGAGGAUUUGUAGCUCCGCUAGUAAUUUAUAACUCUUCGAUGCGUAAACCAUAAUAACCCGUUUGAUAUAUGUAGUCGUGAAAAUAUUAUAAGCAAAAAUAUUGCAUAAAAACUAAAACCACCAUUAGAAUAUUGAACCAUAUAUAUAAAACGGGAUGGAUUGAGGUGAAAUGUGAUAAAAGUAACUCAAUGUUUUAAAUUUUCUUUUUUCAUUGGCAAGUAUAGAGAUGAAGCAUGUUGUGAUAUAAUAGAUAUUGAUGCUUACAGUCUUAUAUUUGAUAGGUCUUGGGUAGAGAUAAUUUGUAUAAACUCAGUAAAGAUACUGCAAGUUUUUACUAUUGUGUUCUUGAUGAAAAAACCUCAACCCAAAGCUUUUAAAAUGAAGUAUUUCUUUAUUGUCAUCAAUUCAGAGCAUGAGAUAUUUAUUAGACAGUUAAGCCUUUACUUGGUGAAUUUGAAAUAAUGCAAAUUUUACUCUUGUGUGUUAAAAAAGAAAUCCCAACCAAAAGCUUCUAAAGAAGAGGAGAUGAUCUUCCUUUCUAUAACCAAUUAAGAACAUAAUAUGCUAAAAUGUAUACGAAAAACUAGACAUUUUUACAAAUUAAUUGUGAAAGCAUUGGUGGUUGAGAAGAGUUAGGUAGACAUUUUUCAGGCGAUUAAACUUGUUUUUGGUGAAUUUUAUGAGAUUCUAUAGAUUAAUUAAUAGGAGAGUUACCACUAAUGAGAGGUAUUCAACAUAAGAUAGAUUUGGUAUCAAGAGCUAACCUUCUAAAUCUACCAUAUUAUAGAAUAAAUUCUAAAAAGCGUGAGAUAUUAAAGGAUACAAUAAAUGAGUUGUUGAGAAAAAGCUUGACAAUUUGAUUCAAAGUAUUUACAUUGACAAGUCAAAAUAGUAGGAUGUUGCACUUGAAAAGUCAGAAUUCAUAUACAACAAUGUCGAACAUAAUACAAAACGUAAAACAUCAUUCAAAAUUAUGUAUCUGUAGUGUCCUAGGCAUGUACUUUAUCUUGUAUCAAUAUAGAAAGGUAUUGAAUAUAUGUAACUGUUAUAAAAAAGAUAAUUGUGAAUACACUAUGAUGUUUUGUAUUAAAGGGAUAGGAAAAGCCUAGAAAGCCCUUGAAGGCUUAGAUGUAGGAAUAAAUUAAAUAAGGGUAUAGUAGUAAUUGGAUAAAUAAUUGAUAAAUAUAAAUAGGAAGUAAAAAAAAAAAAAAAAGAAAGUGAUCUGAAAUUAGAGAGCAAAACCGUGAGAGAGAAGAGAGAAAGAAGAAGAAGAGAAAAGAAGGGAAAAUAAGGGAAAAAGGAAGAGUUUUGGAGGAAAUAAGUGAAAAAGGUAAGAUUUAGGUUGUUUAAUGUGUAUAAUAUGUUAAUUAAGCUUUAAUUUCAGUUUUUAUGAAUGUUAGGGUUUUGAGAAUUUGUGUUUGAUUUAAAUUGAUGAAUUAAAUUGAAGGUUAGGGGUUGAUUGUUGUGUUUAAUUGAUGAUUUAGUUGAUUAUGGAAGAUUAUGAUGAUUUUGAGUUAUAGAAUUGUGUAAAUGGUGAAAAUUGAGUUAGAAAUCAGGGGAGAACAGUGGGGUUUCUGUUAAAAUCUGGACUGGAGGUUGAAGAUGACGAAAAUUCAAUUUGGUCCCUCAAUUUCCGAAAAUUUCAGUUUAGUCCCCGAACUUUGGAAAAUUACAAAUUGGUCCCUGGAGCAUAUUCCGAGAUUCUGAACAGAAUAGAAUAUGAAUUAUGGACAGAAUUACUGUAUAGAUAAGAUAAUUUAACACUUUCAAUUUAGUCCUCCAAUUUGAUAAAAAGUACGAUUUGACCCUAAAAAUUUAGUAAAAUUCCAGAAUGAUCCCUGAAGCAUAAUGAUACAUCCUGGACAGAAUUGAGGAUUUAUUUAAGGUCAGAAUUUCAGUAUAUUCAUGGAUUUAUGACAAAUUUCAGUUUGGUCCUCCAUUUGACAAAAGUUACAUUUUGGCCCUAAAAAAUGGAAAAAUUCCAGAUUAGUCCCUAGCUGUAAGAUUAGCUUUUUCAGAUUAGUUUGAUGAAUAAUUAAGGGUUAUUUAGUGAAUUAUUACCAAUUUUAUUAGUUGUUUUUAUUAUGGAUUAGAUUUCGGGAAAACCGUUAGAUUUUGGGUUUUUAAGAAAAUUGACUAGUUAGUUCAAAAAUAUAUAGGGUUACGGAAUACACCCUUAGUUAAGUGUAUUAAAUAGGUUAAAUGUUCUUUCGAGUCGUUCUUGAAUAUGUCUCCUUUGUAUUCAGAUAAUCCUGAUAUUCUACCGGCAGGACGUCAGUAGAAUUUCCUUCGGUUUCAGCUUGUGUGUGCUGUUUGCUUUUGAGUCAAGUGAGUGGAUAAUUUUCCAUAUGCAUGAGAAAUAUUAUAAAUAUUUGAUUUGUUAAUAUGAAUUGGAUCAUGCUUCUUGAUAAUAUAUAUGCUGAUUAUUAUCCUUGAUAUGAUAAAGCAUGAUCAAUUAUUGAAUCUGAUUUCUUGAUAUGAACCAAUAUGAUUUGACUUCUGAAUUGAUAGCUCCUCAUUUGAUGGAUGUCAUGAGUUGAGCUUUGAGAUAUGAAUAUGUUUGUUUGAUUAUGAUUAUGAACCUAUGGUAUGUCAGUCAGAAUACCCAUGCUAACAGGGUAGUGUUAGUCUUUGUGCACAUCGUAUCUGAACCCUAGUUGGUCGGGGGAGUCACCAACCUGUGUGGACUGAUCAUCCCACAGUACGGAGCCUCAUGCUCAUUGCAUUUUGAUUUUCUGACAAGUUUUACCAUAUGAUAUUCUUGUUAUGGCCUAUUUUGAUAAACCUUCGUAUAAGAACUAAAGCCAUACUUGUAUAUAUAUUUCUCAUUGUUAUAUUACCUCGUAUGUGUAUAUUGAAUGUUAUCUACUCACUGAGUUGUUGAACUCACCCUCUCAUUAUUUAUCCUUUUCAGGCUUAUAGCUUGAUAGCAGGUUACUUUUGUUGAACCUUCCGAACCUGCCUUUUGGUUGUAAUUUGUACCUUCCUUUUGUGUCAAGUUAGUGCUCCAAAACUAUGAAAUUAUUAACUCUUGUAUUAAGACAAUCGAAUUAUAUUAUGAAGUUGUUUGUUGUUAAUACUGCGUUAAACUCUGAUUGAGUUGUUUAAAGGAUUGUAUGUAAGUUUGGGUUCGCAUAGGUUUGGAACCUUGGAGGGGAACCUUGCCUAUGUGCCGGUCAUGGAUCCGGGAUUCGGGUCGUGACAUACACGGACUAUACAUAUAAAGAUGAGAAACAAAUUGCAACAAAUCCAUGUCAAAUACAAGAAGAUUGUCAAUAAAAACCAUUAACUGUGCUUAAGUAUUUGAGGAAUGAGAUAUGUUGAUGAUUUACGCGGUAACUUGCAAGGCUGAGGAACACAGAGCAGGGGGGGAGACACUCGAUAACAAGCAGAGGUAUAUUGAAAAAUCUAUCAAGAGUUUAGCUAACAUGUAAUAGAGAACUGGAUAAAGAAAAAAUUUAAACCAACGGUGCUGUCCUGUUAUAUGAACUUUGCUCCACAUUUGGCACCGACCCCUCAUCAGUCUCGUUCUCUCCAGACAUCUCCUCCAAGGAUUUUCCGUUUGAUUCAGGAACCAAGAAAGUAAACAAUAUGCCGAAGAAGUUGACGACACCGAGGACAAGGAGUGAAUUCUUCACACCGAUACCUGCAGGGUACCCUGCAUCGGCCAGGGCCUUGUCCUUGUUCUGGGCCAAAUAUAAGAACCCGAAUGCACCCACAAUUGCUCCGAGUUUCCCAGAAGCUGCUGAUAUACCGUGGCAAGUGGACCUUAACCUUGCAGGGAAAAUCUCGGCUGGUACAACAAAUGUGGUGGCAUUAGGUCCAAAGUUUGCAAAGAAGAAGGUCAAUGAGUACAUAACCACGAAUCCAAUUCGGUUGUCCUUGUGGGUCCAGUGGUUGUAAGGAAUGGCCAGCGCAAACAUGAACACUGUCAUGAAGAAGAAACCCAUCAAUUGGAUUGCAAACCGUCCUAUUCUGUCGAUAAAAGCCACCGUGAACCAGUAGCCUGGGACAGUACUGCAUAGAGCGAUAAGUGUUUGCGCCCUCGCAAUUCUAUAAACCUCGUCGAUGGCAUUCAUGGUCUGUGCUUUGGGAAUCCAUCCGAUCGCGCUAAAUAUAUCCUUUUGGAAAAGAUUUUGGCUGUAGAAUGCAAUGUCAAGCAAGAACCAUGUGGUUGUUGUUCCAAGCAAGUGGAGUCCAUGGCGAUGAAGGAACUUUUUUGAGAACAGACCAAAUUGAUUGGACUUGUCCUCGGUCAGUUGCUCGACCUUCUGCUCUUCCGCCUCAAGAUCCACCUGCAGAACUCUUGACAUAUCAGUCGCAGCCUGUUUUGCAUUCUUGGCGACAAGCGCAGUGUAACGGGCAGUUUCAGGCAUCUUCAUCCUCCAGUAGUAGGUAAGUGCAGCGGGAAGAGCUCCAGCCAUUACAAUUAUACGCCAAAUGUAGUCAGCUUGUGGGACAGUUGAGGCAACCGCAUUAACCUCGUAAGAUGGAGCAUCAAACCUGGCCUUAAAUGCAGAUGAUACAAUUAUAGCAAAUAUGCCACCAGCCAAAAUUCCAAAACCUUGCAUCGCAAAUACUGCAGCAAUGAAGGCACCACGAGUCUUCUUGUUAGCAUAUUCAGACAUGAUGGUGGCAGAGAGUGGAUAGUCACCACCAAUACCGAACCCGAGCCAGAAACGAAAGAAGCAAAGGGUCGAUAUGACAGCCUUAGCAUCAUGGCUGAAAGAAAGACCCGAGGCAAC